GACGAACGCUGGCGGCGUGCUUAACACAUGCCAGUCGAACGGAAAGGCCCUGCUUUUGUGGGGUGCUCGAGUGGCGAACGGGUGAGUAACACGUGAGUAACCUGCCCUUGACUUUGGGAUAACUUCAGGAAACUGGGGCUAAUACCGGAUAGGAGCUCCUGCUGCAUGGUGGGGGUUGGAAAGUUUCGGCGGUUGGGGAUGGACUCGCGGCUUACCAGCUUGUUGGUGGGGUAGUGGCUUACCAAGGCUUUGACGGGUAGCCGGCCUGAGAGGGUGACCGGCCACAUUGGGACUGAGAUACGGACCAGACUCCUACGGGAGGCAGCAGUGGGGAAUAUUGCACAAUGGGCGGAAGCCUGAUGCAGCAACGCCGCGUGCGGGAUGACGGCCUUCGGGUUGUAAACCGCUUUCGCCUGUGACGAAGCGUGAGUGACGGUAAUGGGUAAAGAAGCACCGGCUAACUACGUG
Molecule: ribosomal RNA, 468 nt
Filed under: uncultured bacterium
Lineage: Bacteria
Description: partial 16S ribosomal RNA
Rfam family: Bacterial small subunit ribosomal RNA
Source: RNAcentral